Molecule: long non-coding RNA, 1776 nt
Organism: Phyllostomus hastatus (greater spear-nosed bat)
Lineage: Eukaryota; Metazoa; Chordata; Mammalia; Chiroptera; Phyllostomidae
Exons: 4
Source: RefSeq, a predicted model, not a curated record
UAGCUGGUUUUAAGCUGAGGUCGUUAAACUGGGGUUUCACACUGUGUGUUUUGUGUGAGGAGUCCCGUGAUCAAAUAAGUUUGUGGAGCCCUGCCAAUUUCAGCUCCUUGUGGGAGAGUCCAAAUGCAAAUCAGCGCCCUAAAGAUCCCGAGAAGGCUUCCGGGGAGAUACCUGGUCACCUUUUCCGAACAGAGCAUCUCCCAGGAUUACUCAGCUCUUUAUUGUGUAAAAGGUAUCCACGCACUUCAAAACUAGUGUUAGCCUAAGGAACUCUGGAGAACGCAAACUCACACAGCUCGCUGACGUCUGCCUGCAUCACCACACGUUUGUACGGUCACUGAGAAUGACUCCGUCCUUCCUGUGAGCCACGCCGCCUUCCCUACGCCGGAAUCCACAUUUCCUCCUUAAUGAGAUCAAGCCAGAUGAGGAAGACUGAGGCUUGCGUACAAGAUGUGGUUUCCUCAAGCCCACAUGGAUUUUCUACCUCUGAAAUCUGUCUUCAUGUGUUUGGCAUGACAAAUACUCCUCCCACCUUCCGCUGAACCGUGGUGUUGAUGGAAUAGUAGAGGAGGACGCCUCUCUUGGCAGCCUGCGGUAGGCGUGGUGGAGCCCCCUGAAGGCUGGAGGAGCCCGGCCCGGUGGUUAGAGAGAAGAGGCUGAGUCACAAAAACCGUUUCCGAACCUAGCAGGCCUAUGUUCGGACAAUCAUAUUCAGAUCUAAGCAUCACUUACCAGAACGGCGAGAUGGUUUGCAACCACCCGAGACUCUCUGCACAUUUGGAAGAUUGAGAAGAAGAGGAGAAUUGGGGAACCACAGGGGAUUGUAGGGUUCCCUCUGGGUGUCACUGCCGAGCCCCAUUUCCUCCUUCUAGGUGGGGUUCCUCUGUAGUGACAUAGUUUGUGCUCCCUGGGAAAAGAGACCCUAAGAUGGAAAUUUGCUUGGAGUGUUCUUCAGAGCAACAGCUGUGCAGGAGGAAAGCAGGCGGGAUUGGGUGGGGGGAGACGGUGGGCUGCAGCGUCGGACAACAAAGACCUCAGCCCACUCCACGGGGAGCUCUGGGGCUGCAGCAGCCCUUUGGGGUUGUCCCAGAUGGAGGCACAGAGAAAGGCCUCUGUGUUACCAGUCAUUGGAUGCGGGCUGGCUACGACCCGGAAGGGCAUAGCAUGAGCAGGCAGCUCCCUUUGCUCAGAGGAAUGACUCAGCCGUGAGCCCCAGCAGGCAGCACUUGUGGCAUUUGGGGGAGUAAAUGUCAGUGUAUUGGUCCUGAGUCUGAUGUCACAUUGGGGGACCCAUCACAGCACCCAUGACAACGAGGACAAGGACAUCGCCACCAGUGGCCCUAGAUUUAUAUUUUUCUAAACCUGUGACUUCAGAGAGAAAAGAGGACCAAUUCUGGCUUUAGUUUUUAAAAGUGUUGGAAAAAUACUAUGACUGGAUUUGCCCUGGUCUCCGACUCUGGCCACAUGUUAAGGAAUGUUGAUCUACUGAUUUUGAAUCUUAUUGACCUUGGUGGCCAGGUGGGUGGAUCUGGUUAGCAGAAGAAACAGUGAAGAACUAUCGUGAAGGGACAGCCACCCAGCUUCUGUCACACCCCCUGUCCCAGGAAUGAGGGAGCUCAUCGGUUCUGUGCGGCACAAGAAGACAAAAACAGAGCGUGUUCAGCUCUACGGAAAGUUGAUUCUCCUUUUGUAACUAAAAGUGCUUUCUGUGGAGAAGAAGCUUCCAGAACUGGAAGUAUUCCAGCAAUGGCCAUGUGUGUAUGUGUCUCUCUCUCC